Molecule: ribosomal RNA, 754 nt
Filed under: uncultured Acinetobacter sp.
Lineage: Bacteria; Pseudomonadati; Pseudomonadota; Gammaproteobacteria; Moraxellales; Moraxellaceae
Description: bacterial SSU rRNA
Rfam family: Bacterial small subunit ribosomal RNA
Source: RNAcentral
AUUGAACGCUGGCGGCAGGCUUAACACAUGCAAGUCGAGCGGGGAAAAGUAGCUUGCUACUGGACCUAGCGGCGGACGGGUGAGUAAUGCUUAGGAAUCUGCCUAUUAGUGGGGGACAACAUCUCGAAAGGGAUGCUAAUACCGCAUACGUCCUACGGGAGAAAGCAGGGGACCUUCGGGCCUUGCGCUAAUAGAUGAGCCUAAGUCGGAUUAGCUAGUUGGUGGGGUAAAGGCCUACCAAGGCGACGAUCUGUAGCGGGUCUGAGAGGAUGAUCCGCCACACUGGGACUGAGACACGGCCCAGACUCCUACGGGAGGCAGCAGUGGGGAAUAUUGGACAAUGGGGGGAACCCUGAUCCAGCCAUGCCGCGUGUGUGAAGAAGGCCUUUUGGUUGUAAAGCACUUUAAGCGAGGAGGAGGCUACCGAGAUUAAUACUCUUGGAUAGUGGACGUUACUCGCAGAAUAAGCACCGGCUAACUCUGUGCCAGCAGCCGCGGUAAUACAGAGGGUGCAAGCGUUAAUCGGAUUUACUGGGCGUAAAGCGCGCGUAGGUGGCCAAUUAAGUCAAAUGUGAAAUCCCCGAGCUUAACUUGGGAAUUGCAUUCGAUACUGGUUGGCUAGAGUAUGGGAGAGGAUGGUAGAAUUCCAGGUGUAGCGGUGAAAUGCGUAGAGAUCUGGAGGAAUACCGAUGGCGAAGGCAGCCAUCUGGCCUAAUACUGACACUGAGGUGCGAAAGCAUGGGGAGCAAACAGG